This 157-nucleotide ribosomal RNA is filed under the name Betta albimarginata. RNAcentral describes it as "partial 12S ribosomal RNA". The stretch from base 1 to 128 matches the Rfam family "Bacterial small subunit ribosomal RNA", at positions 1385 to 1533 of the family's 1533-position model. The record is from RNAcentral. Lineage: Eukaryota; Metazoa; Chordata; Actinopteri; Anabantiformes; Osphronemidae.
ACACACCGCCCGUCACUCUCCCCAAGUCGAAAUAAAUCUAUAUUAUAUAAUGAACCCUAAUUGACAAUAGGGGAGGCAAGUCGUAACAUGGUAAGUGUACCGGAAGGUGUACUUGGAUAAAUCAAAAUGUAGCUAAAUAGAAAAGCAUCUCUCUUAC